GAGAGUUUGAUCCUGGCUCAGGAUGAACGCUGGCGGCGUGCCUAACACAUUCAAGUCGAACGGUGAAGCACCUUCGGGUGCGGAUCAGUGGCGGAC
This 96-nucleotide ribosomal RNA is filed under the name Oscillospiraceae bacterium. RNAcentral's name for it is "partial 16S ribosomal RNA". It matches the Rfam family "Bacterial small subunit ribosomal RNA", at positions 7 to 103 of the family's 1533-position model. Lineage: Bacteria; Bacillati; Bacillota; Clostridia; Eubacteriales; Oscillospiraceae. The record is from RNAcentral.